AUACGGAGGAUCCGAGCGUUAUCCGGAUUUACUGGGUUUAAAGGGUGCGUAGGCGGGCGCCUAAGUCAGCGGUGAAAUGCAGCGGCUCAACCGUUGAACUGCCGUUGAAACUGGGCGCCUUGGAUGCGGUCGAGGCCGGCGGAAUGCGUGGUGUAGCGGUGAAAUGCUUAGAUAUCACGAAGAACUCCAAUUGCGAAGGCAGCUUACCGGGGUACAACUGACGCUGAGGCACGAAAGUGUGGGUAUC
RNAcentral lists this ribosomal RNA (247 nucleotides) under uncultured bacterium. RNAcentral's name for it is "partial 16S ribosomal RNA". It matches the Rfam family "Bacterial small subunit ribosomal RNA", at positions 523 to 769 of the family's 1533-position model. The record is from RNAcentral.